RNAcentral lists this ribosomal RNA (257 nucleotides) under uncultured prokaryote. Its description in RNAcentral is "partial 16S ribosomal RNA". It matches the Rfam family "Bacterial small subunit ribosomal RNA", at positions 524 to 780 of the family's 1533-position model. The record is from RNAcentral.
UACGGAGGAUGCAAGCGUUAUCCGGAUUCAUUGGGUUUAAAGGGUGCGUAGGCGGGCUAUUAAGUCAGUGGUGAAAUCCUGCAGCUUAACUGCAGAACUACCGUUGAUACUGAUAGUCUUGAGUUUGGUUAAGGUAGGCGGAAUGUGUAAUGUAGCGGUGAAAUGCUUAGAUAUUACACAGAACACCAAUUGCGUAGGCAGCUUACUGAGCCGACACUGACGCUGAGGCACGAAAGCGUGGGGAUCAAACAGGAUUA